AUACGGAGGAUCCAAGCGUUAUCCGGAUUUAUUGGGUUUAAAGGGUGCGUAGGCGGACUGUCAAGUCAGCGGUGAAAGUUUGCGGCUUAACCGUAAAAUUGCCGUUGAAACUGGCAGUCUUGAGUGUAGAUGAGGUGGGUGGAAUUCGUAGUGUAGCGGUGAAAUGCUUAGAUAUUACGAAGAACUCCGAUUGCGUAGGCAGCUCACUGGGCUACAACUGACGCUGAGGCACGAAGGUGCGGGGAUCAAACAGGAUUAGAUACCCUGGUAGUCCGCACAGUAAACGAUGAAUACUAGUUGUUUGCGAUACACAGCAAGUGACACAGCGAAAGCGUUAAGUAUUCCACCUGGGGAGUACGCCGGCAACGGUGAA
RNAcentral lists this ribosomal RNA (373 nucleotides) under uncultured bacterium. RNAcentral's name for it is "bacterial SSU rRNA". It matches the Rfam family "Bacterial small subunit ribosomal RNA", at positions 523 to 898 of the family's 1533-position model. The record is from RNAcentral.